GCCGGGAACUACGAGCAGAGCUUAAAACCCAAAGGACUUGACGGUACCCCAUAUCACCCUAGAGGAGCCUGUCCUAUAAUCGAUAAUCCCCGUUUCACCUCACCACAUCUAGCUUUUUCAGCCUGUAUACUUCCGUCGUCAGCUUACCACGUGAGCGUAAUAUAGUUAGCUUAAUGUCCAUACUUUAAUUUGUAUCGUCAAUACGUCAGGUCAAAGUGCAGCAAAUGUUGUGGAAAGAGAUUGGCUACACUUUUUAGUUUAAAAAAAACAGAACACAUAAAUGAAAUUUUGUGUAAAGGUGGAUUUAGAAGUAAAAAGAAAUCAUAAUAUUCAUUUUAACAAAGCACUGGGGCGUGU
This 357-nucleotide ribosomal RNA is filed under the name Eleutherodactylus ruthae. RNAcentral's name for it is "partial 12S ribosomal RNA". It matches the Rfam family "Bacterial small subunit ribosomal RNA", at positions 875 to 1384 of the family's 1533-position model. The record is from RNAcentral. Lineage: Eukaryota; Metazoa; Chordata; Amphibia; Anura; Eleutherodactylidae.